GAGCGUUGAAAAGCUCGGGGAUGACUUGUGGGUAGCGGUGAAAUUCCAAUCGAGCCCGGAGAUAGCUGGUUCUCCCCGAAAUAGCUUUAGGGCUAGCCUCAAGGUGAGAGAUACGGAGGUAGAGCACUGAAUGUCCUAGGGGGUAUUGCACCUACCGAAGACUAUUAAACUCCGAAUGCCGUCAUCUUAUACUUGGGAGUCAGACUGUGGGUGAUAAGAUUCAUAGUCGAAAGGGCAACAGCCCAGAUCGUCAGCUAAGGUCCCUAAAUGUAAGUUAAGUGGUAAAGGAUGUGGGAUUGCACAGACAACCAGGAUGUUGGCUUAGAAGCAGCCACUCAUUCAAAGAGUGCGUAAUAGCUCACUGG
RNAcentral lists this ribosomal RNA (365 nucleotides) under Clostridioides difficile. RNAcentral describes it as "partial 23S ribosomal RNA". It matches the Rfam family "Bacterial large subunit ribosomal RNA", at positions 784 to 1148 of the family's 2925-position model. The record is from RNAcentral. Lineage: Bacteria; Bacillati; Bacillota; Clostridia; Peptostreptococcales; Peptostreptococcaceae.